Molecule: ribosomal RNA, 433 nt
Filed under: uncultured bacterium
Lineage: Bacteria
Description: partial 16S ribosomal RNA
Rfam family: Bacterial small subunit ribosomal RNA
Source: RNAcentral
AACGAACGCUGGCGGCAUGCCUAACACAUGCAAGUCGAACGAGACCUUCGGGUCUAGUGGCGCACGGGUGCGUAACGCGUGGGAACCUGCCCUUAGGUUCGGAAUAACUCCCCGAAAGGGGUGCUAAUACCGGAUAAUGUCUUCGGACCAAAGAUUUAUCGCCUUUGGAUGGGCCCGCGUUGGAUUAGCUAGUUGGUAGGUUAAAAGCCUACCAAGGCGACGAUCCAUAGAUGGUCUGAGAGGAUGAUCAGCCACACUGGGACUGAGACACGGCCCAGACUCCUACGGGAGGCAGCAGUGGGGAAUAUUGGACAAUGGGCGAAAGCCUGAUCCAGCAAUGCCGCGUGAGUGAUGAAGGCCUUAGGGUUGUAAAGCUCUUUUACCCGGGAUGAUAAUGACAGUACCGGGAGAAUAAGCUCCGGCUAACUACGUG